AAAUUAUGAUGAGGAGGAUGGAUAUAUUCUAAUUUUAUUUUUUUUUUUAAUAAUCUCAUCCAACUCAUUCUGA
This 73-nucleotide small nucleolar RNA is filed under the name Merops nubicus (carmine bee-eater). RNAcentral's name for it is "Small nucleolar RNA Z105". It matches the Rfam family "Small nucleolar RNA Z105". From Rfam's summary of the family: This family consists of several snoRNA Z105 sequences which are members of the C/D class of snoRNA which contain the C (UGAUGA) and D (CUGA) box motifs. The record is from Rfam by way of RNAcentral. Lineage: Eukaryota; Metazoa; Chordata; Aves; Coraciiformes; Meropidae.